Molecule: long non-coding RNA, 1142 nt
Filed under: Equus caballus (horse)
Lineage: Eukaryota; Metazoa; Chordata; Mammalia; Perissodactyla; Equidae
Description: lncRNA (ENSECAG00000053015.1)
Source: RNAcentral
CGCGGGGGCGGAGGCGGCAGGGAUGCGAUGGCGGAGUCGCUGCCCCUGGAGGAUGCCUCAGUGCUCUCCCUGAUCCCAGCAGUGGGCCCAAGCCUCAGGGUGCUAGACUUAUCCUCCUGUGUUGUCCUCACCAAUCAGACCCUGCAGGCCAUCCGUGCCUACCUCCCCUACCUCUCAGUCCUGCGCCUGGCCUGGUGCAAGGAGCUCUGUGACUAAGGGCUUUGGGGGCUGGAGGAACCAAGUGAGUAGCCUGGGGUCCCAAGUGACAGACCCUCAAGGUCAUAGAGGGUGGGGUGGUCCCUGGGCUCAGUUGCCCUGCCCUUUCAAGUCUCUCUCUAGGAGCGUUUGAGGGCCAAACUCAGGAGAAACCUAAGUAAGGGCUUCUUCCUGAGUCAUACUGAGAGCUGGUGCAUCAGGCCUUGGGCCCCAAGGACCCUUCUCCCCAACCACAGGGCCCCUUCAUGCUGCAGGCCCUGCAGGAGUUGGACCUCAUAGUCUGCAGCAAGCUGACUGAUGCCACUUUGGCCAAGGUGUGGGGCGAGGGGUGUGGAUAGCCUGAGGGGCUGGGUCUGGAGCCAGGGGCCCCGGGCUGACCCACUUUUUGGUUGGAAAAAGUUCCUUUCUUAUUGGCUUCUGCUCCCUAUGGCCAUUCCUCUGGCUAGGGGUGGGGGAACCUGGAAGGGCUCCAGACCCUGGGCUCCAAUGCCAUACUAUACUUCCCACCCCCCACCCAUCCUUGCAGGGGCUCUACUUCCCCCAGCUGAGGCAACUGUCACUGAGCUUGUUGCCAGCACUCACAGACAAGGGGUUGGUGGCUGUGGCAGGGGCCACCCCAGCCUGGAGUGCUUGGUGCUGAGUCACUGCAGCCUCGUCAGUGACAAGGGCUGGGCCCAGGCAGCCAGCUUCUGGCUGAGGCUGCAGCACCUCAGCCUCUCCAGCUGCACAUAGCUCGUGGAGCAGUGCGUGUGUCGGAUGAUGCCACAGUGCAGGGUCAGGCUAGGGCCUCAUGCCAGGUUAGGCACUUAUUCAGUGGCCUCCCUGCAGAACACUGGAUACCAUUAGGCAGGCAUUGCAAGCAGCUCCAGAUGUUAGAUGUGACCGUGUGUCCUGGUAUCAGCAUGGCUGCCAUCAGGUGCUUCCAA